GAUGAACGCUAGCGGCAGGCUUAACACAUGCAAGUCGAGGGGUAAGCUUCUUCGGGAGCAGAGACCGGCGCACGGGUGCGUAACGCGUAUGCAAUCUACCUUUUACAGAGGGAUAGCCCAGAGAAAUUUGGAUUAAUACCUCAUAGUAUUACGACCUGGCAUCAGGAUGUAAUUAAAGUCACAACGGUAAAAGAUGAGCAUGCGUCCCAUUAGCUAGAUGGUAAGGUAACGGCUUACCAUGGCUACGAUGGGUAGGGGUCCUGAGAGGGAGAUCCCCCACACUGGUACUGAGACACGGACCAGACUCCUACGGGAGGCAGCAGUGAGGAAUAUUGGACAAUGGGCGCAAGCCUGAUCCAGCCAUGCCGCGUGCAGGAUGACGGUCCUAUGGAUUGUAAACUGCUUUUAUACGAGAAGAAACACUCCUUCGUGAAGGAAUUUGACGGUAUCGUAAGAAUAAGGAUCGGCUAACUCCGUGC
Molecule: ribosomal RNA, 479 nt
Filed under: uncultured bacterium
Lineage: Bacteria
Description: bacterial SSU rRNA
Rfam family: Bacterial small subunit ribosomal RNA
Source: RNAcentral